UAGGGAAUCUUCCACAAUGGGUGCAAGCCUGAUGGAGCAACACCGCGUGAGUGAAGAAGGGUUUCGGCUCGUAAAGCUCUGUUGUUAAAGAAGAACACGUAUGAGAGUAACUGUUCAUACGUUGACGGUAUUUAACCAGAAAGUCACGGCUAACUACGUGCCCG
Molecule: ribosomal RNA, 164 nt
Filed under: uncultured bacterium
Lineage: Bacteria
Description: partial 16S rRNA
Rfam family: Bacterial small subunit ribosomal RNA
Source: RNAcentral